Molecule: long non-coding RNA, 1994 nt
Filed under: Sus scrofa (pig)
Lineage: Eukaryota; Metazoa; Chordata; Mammalia; Artiodactyla; Suidae
Description: lncRNA (ENSSSCG00060066145.1)
Source: RNAcentral
GCUGAUGCCACGGGGGAAGCAGCGGAUGUGGGGACAGUGGCAGAAAAUGACUAGCGGGUCAGCUUUGCAAGAGGAGGGACUGUGGGGCUGAGUGCAUCUGGGCGACACGGGGACCUGAGGCCUCGGAAAGAGGAGCCAGGGUGGUGCUGCGGUGAGCUGUGUGUGCAAAGAUUCUUCUGAAGGUCAAAUAAGCUACAAGUUCCUGGCCCAGAAUAGAUAGCAAGGAAGCCAGCAAGGAAGCACCGUGGGAAAAGACAGGAACUAAAGGUGUGAGGUUCAGGUCGUGGGAUGGACUUCGGUGGGAGAGAGACCCCUGAUCCUUUGUCCUUCUUAUUAUCCAGCCUGUCUCCGUUGUAGGAGCAUGAAUUUGGAGUAGGGAGUGUUCUCUCAAAGUGUCCUUAGUGAUGGCAACAGUUCAAAUGAAGCUGGACACAGGCUGCUUUGGGAAGGUGGCCAGGCCCUGGAUGGGGGCUCACGGCUCUUGUCUGGCACCACAUCUGAUCCCUGGUCACUGUCUUUUUGGUCACCCUGGUGGACAUGGGUGUUUUCUGGUCUCUUCUGAUGUUCCCCCAAAUCCCAGUCUUGCCCUCCCCAUGCUUGGUGAUGCCACGCAGUGGAAUCUCACACGUGCCAUUCUGUGUCAGGAAGGUCAGAAGGUGUCAUUCUGAGAGGUUAGCCCGCAGGCCAUGCCACAGGAGUGACUCAGCGCCGGGGACCGCUGAUGAGUUUUCUGAAAGGUCGCUCCGAGAUUUACUGCGGAUGGGACAGCACGGGGCACAACCGAUAUUUGCAGAGUUUCUUCCAUCCCUUCGACCUUCUUAUGUAGUCUUUGCAAGAAUUUUGUGCCAUCGGUGGUGGUAUUUCCGUUUUUAUGUGGAAAAGAAAACAAGAGGCCUGUUCAAAGAAGUGAAGUACUUGCUUGAGGUUAUACGGGGGCUGAGCGGCGGAACCUGUGCUUGAACUUCCUCUGCCCAGCGGAUGAUUAGACGCUGCGUUUGGGGACCAGCAAAGGAAGGUCUCUGGGCAUUCGGGCGGUUUGUGGGGGUUGCACCUUCUGUUUCGUAUCCAUGCCCACGGCCUGAUGCAUCGUGCCCAGCUUGUUUUGGGAGGCCCUGUCCCAGAGUGGAAGCUGUGGUUCCUCGAAGCCUCUGGAAUCUUCCAGGCCUCCUUGUUGGAGUGGUGCGUUGCAUUUCAAUGAGAGGAAAAAAAUAAGCCAGAGGAGUUGCCAAAAGGGAAAAUGAAGUGCAUCUCUGUCUCCUCUUUGUGUGCACAGAUGUUUCCUCCCUGGGCCCCGCACCCCACCCCCUUCCCGGGGGCUCCCGGGCCGCAAACAGAUGGGAAGGGACCCGCGCUGGAGCAGAGAGCCAGACGCACUGGCAGAGGUCACCGUGCCCAGGACCGCAGAGGCGGGGAGCCGGGGGGAGUGGGGGAGCAGCCCAGGGAGAGGUCCUACGUGGGGUUUGGUUUCUGCCAUGCCCUCCAGCCUGAGCUAGUGCCCCAGCCAUGACUGAAGCACCAAGGUUUAAGGCGGCCAAAGCGCAAGGAGGAGAAGACUCUGUGGGGACCGAGAGCCUUUGGCAUCUGCUCUGCGCUGAGCCUCAGUUUCCCCAUCUGUAAAGGGGCAACAUGGGAUCAAGGGAUCUCUGCGGUUUCUGUGUUAGCCCUGCGUUGGUGGAGAAAGUUCUUCACUGUUGCUCAUUUCGUCUUCAUCUGGUUUCUUAAAAAAUAAAGCUCCACCCCCACCCCCACCCCAAGUCUCCCUGCCAUUUGAAGGAUAAUACCAUGAACCCGCAUUUGAUAAACAGUGUUCAUUUUAGAGGAUGGCAAGUGAGAUGGGAUCUGUCGAGGGGGAUUUUAUUAGCACAUAUUAUCUAAAUAUUUUAAAUGAGGCUGUGUUCAUGGCUUAGUUCAUCAUGGAAUACACAUUUUUUAAAAAAUGCCCUGAGGUGAAUAGGCUUAUCAUGGAAAAUCUAGAAAAUACAGAAAAGCAUAAA